RNAcentral lists this ribosomal RNA (2747 nucleotides) under Klebsiella pneumoniae. Its description in RNAcentral is "23S ribosomal RNA". It matches the Rfam family "Bacterial large subunit ribosomal RNA". Lineage: Bacteria; Pseudomonadati; Pseudomonadota; Gammaproteobacteria; Enterobacterales; Enterobacteriaceae. The record is from RNAcentral.
CACUAUCGUUAACUGAAUACAUAGGUUAACGAGGCGAACCGGGGGAACUGAAACAUCUAAGUACCCCGAGGAAAAGAAAUCAACCGAGAUUCCCCCAGUAGCGGCGAGCGAACGGGGAGCAGCCCAGAGUCUGAAUCAGCUUGUGUGUUAGUGGAACGGUCUGGAAAGUCCGACGGUACAGGGUGAUAGUCCCGUACACCAAAAUGCACAGGUUGUGAACUCGAAGAGUAGGGCGGGACACGUGGUAUCCUGUCUGAAUAUGGGGGGACCAUCCUCCAAGGCUAAAUACUCCUGACUGACCGAUAGUGAACCAGUACCGUGAGGGAAAGGCGAAAAGAACCCCGGCGAGGGGAGUGAAAAAGAACCUGAAACCGUGUACGUACAAGCAGUGGGAGCACCUUCGGGUGUGACUGCGUACCUUUUGUAUAAUGGGUCAGCGACUUAUAUUCUGUAGCAAGGUUAACCGUAUAGGGGAGCCGCAGGGAAACCGAGUCUUAACUGGGCGUUAAGUUGCAGGGUAUAGACCCGAAACCCGGUGAUCUAGCCAUGGGCAGGUUGAAGGUUGGGUAACACUAACUGGAGGACCGAACCGACUAAUGUUGAAAAAUUAGCGGAUGACUUGUGGCUGGGGGUGAAAGGCCAAUCAAACCGGGAGAUAGCUGGUUCUCCCCGAAAGCUAUUUAGGUAGCGCCUCGUGAACUCAUCUUCGGGGGUAGAGCACUGUUUCGGCUAGGGGGUCAUCCCGACUUACCAACCCGAUGCAAACUACGAAUACCGAAGAAUGUUAUCACGGGAGACACACGGCGGGUGCUAACGUCCGUCGUGAAGAGGGAAACAACCCAGACCGCCAGCUAAGGUCCCAAAGUCAUGGUUAAGUGGGAAACGAUGUGGGAAGGCACAGACAGCCAGGAUGUUGGCUUAGAAGCAGCCAUCAUUUAAAGAAAGCGUAAUAGCUCACUGGUCGAGUCGGCCUGCGCGGAAGAUGUAACGGGGCUAAACCAUGCACCGAAGCUGCGGCAGCGACACUAUGUGUUGUUGGGUAGGGGAGCGUUCUGUAAGCCUGCGAAGGUGNUGCUGGAGGUAUCAGAAGUGCGAAUGCUGACAUAAGUAACGAUAAAGCGGGUGAAAAGCCCGCUCGCCGGAAGACCAAGGGUUCCUGUCCAACGUUAAUCGGGGCAGGGUGAGUCGACCCCUAAGGCGAGGCCGAAAGGCGUAGUCGAUGGGAAACAGGUUAAUAUUCCUGUACUUGGUGUUACUGCGAAGGGGGGACGGAGAAGGCUAUGUUAGCCGGGCGACGGUUGUCCCGGUUUAAGCAUGUAGGCUGGUUGUCCAGGCAAAUCCGGAUAAUCAAGGCUGAGGUGUGAUGACGAGGCACUACGGUGCUGAAGUAACAAAUGCCCUGCUUCCAGGAAAAGCCUCUAAGCAUCAGGUAACAUCAAAUCGUACCCCAAACCGACACAGGUGGUCAGGUAGAGAAUACCAAGGCGCUUGAGAGAACUCGGGUGAAGGAACUAGGCAAAAUGGUGCCGUAACUUCGGGAGAAGGCACGCUGGUGUGUAGGUGAAGUCCCUGCGGAUGGAGCUGAGACCAGUCGAAGAUACCAGCUGGCUGCAACUGUUUAUUAAAAACACAGCACUGUGCAAACACGAAAGUGGACGUAUACGGUGUGACGCCUGCCCGGUGCCGGAAGGUUAAUUGAUGGGGUUAUCCGUAAGGAGAAGCUCUUGAUCGAAGCCCCGGUAAACGGCGGCCGUAACUAUAACGGUCCUAAGGUAGCGAAAUUCCUUGUCGGGUAAGUUCCGACCUGCACGAAUGGCGUAAUGAUGGCCAGGCUGUCUCCACCCGAGACUCAGUGAAAUUGAACUCGCUGUGAAGAUGCAGUGUACCCGCGGCAAGACGGAAAGACCCCGUGAACCUUUACUAUAGCUUGACACUGAACAUUGAGCCUUGAUGUGUAGGAUAGGUGGGAGGCUUUGAAGCGUGGACGCCAGUCUGCGUGGAGCCAACCUUGAAAUACCACCCUUUAAUGUUUGAUGUUCUAACGUUGGCCCCUGACCGGGGUUGCGGACAGUGUCUGGUGGGUAGUUUGACUGGGGCGGUCUCCUCCCAAAGCGUAACGGAGGAGCACGAAGGUUAGCUAAUCCUGGUCGGACAUCAGGAGGUUAGUGCAAUGGCAUAAGCUAGCUUGACUGCGAGCGUGACGGCGCGAGCAGGUGCGAAAGCAGGUCAUAGUGAUCCGGUGGUUCUGAAUGGAAGGGCCAUCGCUCAACGGAUAAAAGGUACUCCGGGGAUAACAGGCUGAUACCGCCCAAGAGUUCAUAUCGACGGCGGUGUUUGGCACCUCGAUGUCGGCUCAUCACAUCCUGGGGCUGAAGUAGGUCCCAAGGGUAUGGCUGUUCGCCAUUUAAAGUGGUACGCGAGCUGGGUUUAGAACGUCGUGAGACAGUUCGGUCCCUAUCUGCCGUGGGCGCUGGAGAAUUGAGGGGGGCUGCUCCUAGUACGAGAGGACCGGAGUGGACGCAUCACUGGUGUUCGGGUUGUCAUGCCAAUGGCACUGCCCGGUAGCUAAAUGCGGAAGAGAUAAGUGCUGAAAGCAUCUAAGCACGAAACUUGCCCCGAGAUGAGUUCUCCCUGAGACUUUAAGUCUCCUGAAGGAACGUUGAAGACGACGACGUUGAUAGGCCGGGUGUGUAAGCGCAGCGAUGCGUUGAGCUAACCGGUACUAAUGAACCGUGAGGCUUAACCUU